RNAcentral lists this ribosomal RNA (399 nucleotides) under Burkholderia sp. HP13. Its description in RNAcentral is "bacterial SSU rRNA". It matches the Rfam family "Bacterial small subunit ribosomal RNA", at positions 992 to 1392 of the family's 1533-position model. Lineage: Bacteria; Pseudomonadati; Pseudomonadota; Betaproteobacteria; Burkholderiales; Burkholderiaceae. The record is from RNAcentral. RNAcentral also lists the same sequence under 4 other names.
GGAAUCCUUGCCUGAGAAGGCGGGAGUGCUCGAAAGAGAACCGGCGCACAGGUGCUGCAUGGCUGUCGUCAGUUCGUGUCGUGAGAUGUUGGGUUAAGUCCCGCAACGAGCGCAACCCUUGUCCUUAGUUGCUACGCAAGAGCACUCUAAGGAGACUGCCGGUGACAAACCGGAGGAAGGUGGGGAUGACGUCAAGUCCUCAUGGCCCUUAUGGGUAGGGCUUCACACGUCAUACAAUGGUCGGAACAGAGGGUUGCCAACCCGCGAGGGGGAGCUAAUCCCAGAAAACCGAUCGUAGUCCGGAUUGCACUCUGCAACUCGAGUGCAUGAAGCUGGAAUCGCUAGUAAUCGCGGAUCAGCAUGCCGCGGUGAAUACGUUCCCGGGUCUUGUACACACCG